AUGGAUGGAUGGGAUCCUCCUCAUCUCAUCUUCGCCGCCGACGUGCAAGCAACUUGGAUCCAUCAUCGCCUUGCAACUGAGAUCCUCCUCAUCUCAUCUUCCCCGGCCUCCAGAAGAAGAUCUCGUCCUGUAAGCUUGCUGGUGGAAAACAACCACAAUAUGGAUAUUAAUUUCCAGUUGAUUCAAACUAUUACAAACAAUUUUGCAGAGGAUCAGAAGGUUGGCAACGGUGGGUUCGGAGAUGUUUACAGGGCAAUUUAUAAAGGGGAAGAGAUUGCCGUGAAGAAGUUUCACCCCUUGCAUGGACUCGAUGAUAAGCAAUUCGCCAUCGAGUUCUGCAACCUUAGUAAGGUAUGCCAUCAAAAUGUGGUGCGGCUAAUUGGCUACUGUUACGAGUCUCGGCACAAAUACACGGAGCUCAAGGGGGAACUUGUUUUCGGACAAACGGUGGAGCGAGUGCUCUGCUUCGAAUAUAUGCAAGGCGGAAGCCUCGAUAAACACAUCAAUGAUGAAUCUUGCGGACUUGAGUGGCCCACAUGUUACAAGAUUAUCAAAGGGACUGGUGAGGGACUCAAUUACCUGCACAGCUUGCAGGGAAAUCCUAUUUUCCAUCUGAACUUAAAGCCUGGUAAUAUUUUGCUGGAUAGAAGUAUGACGCCCAAAAUUGCAAAUCUUGGUGUGUCAAGACCUGUUGCUUCAACAGAUAAUCACGACGGAACACUUGGGUUCAUGCCACCGGAGUUCGUUGAUGGUGGCGAUAUAUCAAACAAGUUUGACGUGUUCAGUUUGGGCGUCAUAAUGAUAAAAAUACUCGCUGGAAAUAACGGCUAUUACAGAUGUUCUAAGAUGUCCCCCGAACAGUUUUUUGAGCUUGUAACUGAAAACUGGACGAAAAGGUUGCAGACAAUGAUGAGCUAUGCAUCACUGAAAGAGGACAUCCUACGAGUGAGGACAUGUGUUGAGAUUGCAUUAAGGUGUGUCGCCAUGGACCAAAAUAAAAGGCCUACCGUGAAGGAAAUUGUUCAUGAACUGGAGGAAGUCGAAGCCAAUAUCACAAUAAUGUCACACCUAACUGUGCAGACAGGAUCCGAGCGACACCAAGUGUCGUCACAACAUUUGAAUGAUAUCAGAGAAAAUUUCUCAAGGGAAUGA
Molecule: ribosomal RNA, 1152 nt
Filed under: Triticum aestivum (bread wheat)
Lineage: Eukaryota; Viridiplantae; Streptophyta; Magnoliopsida; Poales; Poaceae
Description: partial small subunit ribosomal RNA
Source: RNAcentral